RNAcentral lists this ribosomal RNA (1504 nucleotides) under metagenome. RNAcentral's name for it is "bacterial LSU rRNA". It matches the Rfam family "Bacterial large subunit ribosomal RNA", at positions 1278 to 2910 of the family's 2925-position model. The record is from RNAcentral.
CAGAUCGGAAGCGAGAAUGUUGACAUGAGUAGCGACAAAUAGGGUGAGAAACCCUGUCGCCGAAAGUCCAAGGGUUCCUGCUUAAAGCUAAUCUGAGCAGGGUAAGCCGGCCCCUAAGGCGAGGCCGAAAGGCGUAGUCGAUGGGAACCAGGUUAAUAUUCCUGGGCCAGUGGGAUGUGACGGAUCGCAGAUGUAGUUUGCCCUUAUCGGAUUGGGUGGGCUGCUGAGCGGUUCCUGGAAAUAGCCCCACAUCAGACCGUACCCUAAACCGACACAGGUGGACUGGUAGAGUAUACCAAGGCGCUUGAGAGAACCACGUUAAAGGAACUCGGCAAAAUGCCUCCGUAAGUUCGCGGGAAGGAGGCCCCAUAUGUGCGCAAGCAUGUGUGGGGGGCACAAACUAGGGGGUGGCGACUGUUUACUUAAAACACAGGGCUGUGCGAAGCCGUAAGGCGACGUAUACAGUCUGACGCCUGCCCGGUGCUGGAAGAUUAAGAGGAGGGGUGCAAGCUCUGAAUUGAAGUCCCAGUAAACGGCGGCCGUAACAAUAACGGUCCUAAGGUAGCGAAAUUCCUUGUCGGGUAAGUUCCGACCUGCACGAAUGGCGUAACGAUCUCCCCGCUGUCUCUAACGUGGACUCAGCGAAAUUGAACUGUCUGUCAAGAUGCAGACUACCCGCGGUUAGACGGAAAGACCCCAUGAACCUUUACUCCAGCUUUGCAUUGGCAACAGGACUGUGAUGUGCAGGAUAGGUGGUAGGCAUUGAAGCGGGGACGCCAGUCUUCGUGGAGCCUCCCUUGAGAUACCACCCUUCGCCGUCUUGUUGUCUAACCGCGACCCGUUAUCCGGGCCCGGGACCGUGCAUGGUGGGGAGUUUGACUGGGGCGGUCGCCUCCCAAAUUGUAACGGAGGCGCGCGAUGGUUGGCUCAGACCGGUCGGAAAUCGGUCGUUGAGUGCAAUGGCAGAAGCCAGCCUGACUGCAAGACUGACAAGUCGAGCAGAGACGAAAGUCGGUCAUAGUGAUCCGGUGGUCCCAAGUGGGAGGGCCAUCGCUCAACGGAUAAAAGGUACUCUGGGGAUAACAGGCUGAUGAUGCCCAAGAGUCCAUAUCGACGGCAUCGUUUGGCACCUCGAUGUCGGCUCAUCUCAUCCUGGGGCUGGAGCAGGUCCCAAGGGUACGGCUGUUCGCCGUUUAAAGAGGUACGUGAGCUGGGUUUAGAACGUCGUGAGACAGUUCGGUCCCUAUCUGCCGUGGGUGCAGGAGACUUGAGAAGAGUUGACCCUAGUACGAGAGGACCGGGUUGAACGAACCACUGGUGGACCAGUUAUCGUGCCAACGGUAGUGCUGGGUAGCUAUGUUCGGACAGGAUAACCGCUGAAGGCAUCUAAGCGGGAAGCCCCCUUCAAAACAAGGUCUCCCUUGAGGGCCGUGGAAGACGACCACGUCGAUAGGCCAGAGGUGUAAGCGCAGCAAUGCGUUCAGCUGACUGGUACUAAUUGCUC